CAACUGCAGGCCCUGAGCUCUGGGGAGGGCACUGCUCUGCAGGCUUUGAGAAGGUCAGGAGAGACAUAAUGCUGGAUGUCUGCUACAAAUAUAUGUAUAAAGCAUAUAAAAAACCCCAUUUGAUAAGGGCUCUCCACAGGACUCUCUCACACUGAGGGAUGACCUUUCAGGGAAUCCUUUCAGCCAGGUCUCCAUUUCUUCUCAGCUGGCUGUCACGGAGAUAUGUGUGUGGACUAUGCUGGAAACUUUUAUGCAUCAAGACAUUUUGUUUUCCCGGAGCCUCAGGAUGUCCUCUUUAAUUCUGACAAGGCCCUGGAAGAAGAAACCUUGUGUGAAGCAGAGAAUGGUUAAUGAGAGAGAGGAGCAAGCAC
Molecule: long non-coding RNA, 371 nt
Organism: Chiroxiphia lanceolata (lance-tailed manakin)
Lineage: Eukaryota; Metazoa; Chordata; Aves; Passeriformes; Pipridae
Exons: 5
Source: RefSeq, a predicted model, not a curated record